UUCUUUAAUACAUAAUCCUUCCUCUCAGUUUUCUGCCACUCCUUCCAAAUGAAGAAUUAAAUUUAAGUUGCUAAAGUAUAAGAGGAAGGCCAAAAUGAACAUCAGAUGGGGCUAUGAGAAAGAAAUAGUUGCCAAGGAUUUAUGAGAGGAUAUGCCUCUGGAUGGAAUUGAAUGAAGGCUAAAGAUGAAACCUACCUUAAAUGGCUAGGAUGCAGCCUUUGUUGGGUUGAGUUCUAUUAUUAUAUUAUUUUAUAUACAAUUCACAACUUUUGUGCUUCUUGUUCUAUUUUGAGUUUGGUCAGUGAGCAGUAGAUAUUGAUGAAUUUAGUGCAAGGUUCAAGUUAUUUUAAGUUCUUGUUCAAAAAAGCUAAUAGAAGCUUUAUCUGUGGUUUUUUUAUGUUGUGAGAUUUAUCUUUCUCCAAUAUAUUUAAUCUACUUUCAUCUUAUUUGAUUAGUUCUUUUCUUAUUAUCAUUUUUUAAAAAUAUAUUUAAUUACUGUCUUUUAUUAUAUCUUCAUAUCUCUGUUUAUGUUUCUCUGUAUUUUAACAAAGCACUGCGUUGAUAUUUCAUGAUUGAUGUGUAAUUUUAGAUUUUUUGGGUAACUUUACAUUAUGUCUUUGAGAUUCAUUACACAUUUCAUCACUUCUCAUUUAUGAAGAUUCUCUCUGGGACUUUGGUUUGCUAUAUUAUACUUAAUUUUUCGUUCUGGAGAUAUUCUAAUUUUUUUUUAGAUAGACUUUAGUUGCUGAUCAUGCCGUUAUGUGCUAUUUUUUUGCAAACAGAAUGUUCUUGAAAUGAUGCAAUAAAGAAAUGCUUUAUGCUUGACUUGCCUUUUUUUAUUUUUUCCCUUCUUCAUCAGCUCGCAAAAAAAGGGGAAAAGCUUAUAGACCUUCCCUAUGUUGUCAAAGGAAUGGAUGUUUCAUUUAGUGGAAUACUAAGUUAUCUUAAAGCUACUGCUGAGGAAAAGCUAAAAAACAAUGAAUGCACCCCUGCAGAUUUGUGCUAUUCCCUUUAGGAAAGUGUGUUUCCGAUGCUUGUGGAGAUUACAGAAUGGGCAAUGGCACACAUUGACAAGAAAGAUGUUCUCAUUGUUGGUAGUGUGGGCUGCAGUGAGCGCUUGCAAGAGAUAAUGAGAAUCAUGUGCUCCGAGAGGAGUGGAAGGUUGUUUGCAACUGAUGACAUGUACUGUGUUGACAAUAGGGCAAUGAUUGCAUAUACUGGUCUCUUAGCUUAUGCUAAUGGGAUGUCAAAUCCGGGGGAGGAAUCAACAUUCACAUAGCGGUUCAAACUGAUGAAGUCCACGCAACCUGGAGAGAGAAAAAUGAAUCUUCAAAUGGUCUCAUGGAAAAAGGUGUCUAAUUACCUACAUGUUUCAAGGGAAAGCAAAUGUGGGGUGGUUAUUGGCAACAAGGAGGGAGUAAUUUGUCAGGUAGCAAAGCAAUAUAUCCAAGAGAGAUUGAUGAAGAAGAUCUACCGUGAGCUCUCACUAUGAGACAAGUUGUCUUCUAUUGGUGAAAUACUAAAAUAUGUGUUCCUAAGAAGUUGAAUAGUUUUUCCUUGGAAGACAUUUGUGGAGACAACUCCCACCAUUAGUAACAAUUAUAUAUAUAUAUAUAUAUAUAAUCUCGAGCACUACUAUCUUGCUCGACUAAAACAUGCCUGUCAAAUAGCGGCCAAAGAUCAAGUUCUUGACAUGAAAUGUGCUGAUCUGUGUGACUCGUUUGGAUUGGCAUAUUUAUCAAAAGAUGACUCAGGUGAGUGUAGUUUCUCGUCUUCACU
Molecule: non-coding RNA, 1779 nt
Organism: Camellia sinensis
Lineage: Eukaryota; Viridiplantae; Streptophyta; Magnoliopsida; Ericales; Theaceae
Source: RefSeq, a predicted model, not a curated record